UACGGAGGAUGCGAGCGUUAUCCGGAUUUAUUGGGUUUCAAGGGUGCGCAGGCGGCGUGUCAAGCAAGCGGUAAAAUAGCGGGGCUCAACCCCGUCGAGCCGUUUGAACUGGCGCGCUUGAGUUCAGGCGAGGUAGGCGGAAUUCGUGGUGUAGCGGUGAAAUGCAUAGAUAUCACGCAGAACCCCGAUUGCGAAGGCAGCAUACCGGCGCCCGACUGACGCUGAGGCACGAAAGUGCGGGUAUCGAACAGG
RNAcentral lists this ribosomal RNA (252 nucleotides) under uncultured Bacteroidales bacterium. RNAcentral describes it as "partial 16S ribosomal RNA". It matches the Rfam family "Bacterial small subunit ribosomal RNA", at positions 524 to 776 of the family's 1533-position model. The record is from RNAcentral. Lineage: Bacteria; Pseudomonadati; Bacteroidota; Bacteroidia; Bacteroidales.